RNAcentral lists this ribosomal RNA (49 nucleotides) under Phoma sp. CBS 118751. RNAcentral describes it as "partial 28S ribosomal RNA". The record is from RNAcentral. Lineage: Eukaryota; Fungi; Ascomycota; Dothideomycetes; Pleosporales; Didymellaceae.
CUGAACUUAAGCAUAUCAAUAAGCGGAGGAAAAGAAACCAACAGGAUGC